This 459-nucleotide ribosomal RNA is filed under the name uncultured bacterium. Its description in RNAcentral is "bacterial SSU rRNA". It matches the Rfam family "Bacterial small subunit ribosomal RNA", at positions 335 to 788 of the family's 1533-position model. The record is from RNAcentral.
ACUCCUACGGGAGGCAGCAGUGGGGAAUAUUGCACAAUGGGCGCAAGCCUGAUGCAGCCAUGCCGCGUGUGUGAAGAAGGCCUUCGGGUUGUAAAGCACUUUCAGUCGUGAGGAAGGUGGUAGUGUUAAUAGCACUAUCUAUUUGACGUUAGCGACAGAAGAAGCACCGGCUAACUCCGUGCCAGCAGCCGCGGUAAUACGGAGGGUGCGAGCGUUAAUCGGAAUUACUGGGCGUAAAGCGCAUGCAGGUGGUUUGUUAAGUCAGAUGUGAAAGCCCGGGGCUCAACCUCGGAAUAGCAUUUGAAACUGGCAGACUAGAGUACUGUAGAGGGGGUAGAAUUUCAGGUGUAGCGGUGAAAUGCGUAGAGAUCUGAAGGAAUACCGGUGGCGAAGGCGGCCCCUGGACAGAUACUGACACUCAGAUGCGAAAGCGUGGGAGCAAACAGGAUUAGAUACCCC